GUUCACUGCAAGAAAGCAAUCUGAGCAAGCACAUUCAGCUUUCAGUAAUGUGACCUCUCUGGGAUUAAAGUCACUCGUAGUGGUUUUGCUCAACUGAAAUGUUUAUGGGUCUGGCUGUUGGACUGGCAUUGGAAAAAAUGGAGCUAACAGGAUUGUGUCAACUGAAAUCAAAUGCAGGAAGAAAAAGCCUCACACAUGGACAGAGACUGGAAGGACACACAGGAAAUUGACUGGAACCAUGAGAAGACAGAAAAUCUCAUCAAUGUUUCAUUGGGAAAUGGAAAAUAAUACCUCCUAAUAAUACCUCCAGCUGAUUGUUUUCAAGCACUCACAUGAUGGUGUGUGAAAAGAUGGGAAACUUCUCUUCAGAUUCCAGUGGUUGUGCUAUUACAUCCAUACAUUACAAACAUUACAUACAUACAUACAUAACAUACACUACAAAUAUUACAGAAAAUAUUUGAAGGGGUGUUUAAAACUGGUUAACAGAUUUUUAUUUUUAUUUUUAAUCUCUAAGAUGAUUCUCCCUUCACAUAGAGCUAACUACUUCUUCCCAAAAUUCAGAUACUGAUAACUAAAUAAGUAAAUGUUUGACAUCCUAUUAUUUCCUCUGGGGAAAAGUCAAGCCUCUCUGCAUGAAAACUGUACUUCUUAAGUAGUAAUGUUGAGGAAAAAAAAAAAAAAGCCCAGUCUACAUAUCACUGAAGGAGAUAUUCAUGUUGGCUAAUGAUAACUUAACACAUCUACCCCCAAGCUAACCAGAGGCUGAAUGAGUCUUCUCAUGGG
Long non-coding RNA from Cygnus olor (mute swan), 783 nucleotides. RefSeq lists it as uncharacterized. Lineage: Eukaryota; Metazoa; Chordata; Aves; Anseriformes; Anatidae. The record is from RefSeq and is a predicted model, not a curated record. The transcript has 3 exons.